UACACAUGCAAGUCGAACGAUGAACCGCUUUCGGGCGGGGAUUAGUGGCGAACGGGUGAGUAACACGUGGGCAAUCUGCCCUGCACUCUGGGACAAGCCCUGGAAACGGGGUCUAAUACCGGAUAUGACCGUCUGCCGCAUGGUGGAUGGUGUAAAGCUCCGGCGGUGCAGGAUGAGCCCGCGGCCUAUCAGCUUGUUGGUGAGGUAGUGGCUCACCAAGGCGACGACGGGUAGCCGGCCUGAGAGGGCGACCGGCCACACUGGGACUGAGACACGGCCCAGACUCCUACGGGAGGCAGCAGUGGGGAAUAUUGCACAAUGGGCGAAAGCCUGAUGCAGCGACGCCGCGUGAGGGAUGACGGCCUUCGGGUUGUAAACCUCUUUCAGCAGGGAAGAAGCGAAAGUGACGGUACCUGCAGAAGAAGCGCCGGCUAACUACGUGCCAGCAGCCGCGGUAAUACGUAGGGCGCAAGCGUUGUCCGGAAUUAUUGGGCGUAAAGAGCUCGUAGGCGGCUUGUCACGUCGGUUGUGAAAGCCCGGGGCUUAACCCCGGGUCUGCAGUCGAUACGGGCAGGCUAGAGUUCGGUAGGGGAGAUCGGAAUUCCUGGUGUAGCGGUGAAAUGCGCAGAUAUCAGGAGGAACACCGGUGGCGAAGGCGGAUCUCUGGGCCGAUACUGACGCUGAGGAGCGAAAGCGUGGGGAGCGAACAGGAUUAGAUACCCUGGUAGUCCACGCCGUAAACGGUGGGCACUAGGUGUGGGCAACAUUCCACGUUGUCCGUGCCGCAGCUAACGCAUUAAGUGCCCCGCCUGGGGAGUACGGCCGCAAGGCUAAAACUCAAAGGAAUUGACGGGGGCCCG
This 860-nucleotide ribosomal RNA is filed under the name Streptomyces albidoflavus. Its description in RNAcentral is "bacterial SSU rRNA". It matches the Rfam family "Bacterial small subunit ribosomal RNA", at positions 50 to 923 of the family's 1533-position model. The record is from RNAcentral. Lineage: Bacteria; Bacillati; Actinomycetota; Actinomycetes; Kitasatosporales; Streptomycetaceae.